Molecule: long non-coding RNA, 359 nt
Filed under: Brassica napus (rape)
Lineage: Eukaryota; Viridiplantae; Streptophyta; Magnoliopsida; Brassicales; Brassicaceae
Description: long non-coding RNA (BNAP_LNC004366)
Source: RNAcentral
UACUAACCGCAGAGAUGAUUCAAUGUGCUACACUCUAGAUUAGUCACCAUACCAUACAUCACAUAACUCCACUGACAGUGCCUGACAUACCCAUCUACUGACUUUAUUUCUGUAUAAAAUAGAUGUGUAGUCUACAUCUUGGGAGUAUCGAUCAAGUGACACAUGGAAUCAAAUGAAGCAAGUAUCUGGACCUACAUGUAAACAUUUGGUUCUUUCCCUCUCUCUUCUCUGAAUCUUUUUAUUUUCUUUUCUUUUUCUUUUGUCGAUCUUUUUUGGCAAAGUGUAGGCGAAUAGUGGGGUCAUCGGUAAUGUACCUACCCCUUUCUUUCCAACAAUGUGUGAUCAUUCUAUUAGAGUAG